CAUGGUCUUAGCUUGCUAAGGCUGAUGGCGACCGGCGCACGGGUGAGUAACACGUAUCCAACCUGCCGUCUACUCUUGGCCAGCCUUUCGAAAGAAAGAUUAAUGCCCGAUGGUUUCAAGGGAUUGCAUGGUAUCUUGAAUAAAGAUUCAUCGGUAUGCGAUGGGGAUGCGUUCCAUUAGGCAGUUGGCGGGGUAACGGCCCACCAAGCCUUCGAUGGAUAGGGGUUCUGAGAGGAAGGUCCCCACAUUGGAACUGAGACACGGUCCAAACUCC
Molecule: ribosomal RNA, 274 nt
Filed under: uncultured Bacteroides sp.
Lineage: Bacteria; Pseudomonadati; Bacteroidota; Bacteroidia; Bacteroidales; Bacteroidaceae
Description: partial 16S ribosomal RNA
Rfam family: Bacterial small subunit ribosomal RNA
Source: RNAcentral